GGGGGUAUAACAGGACUGGAAUAGAAUCAGGGUCAAGAGGGCUUUGAGGAGUUGGAGCUCUGACAGGUCACUGAGGGUAGGGUGACGGAGGUCCCAAAUCUUUCCCCAGAAACUGUCAGCACCCUAAACAGGAGGGACAGAGGGACUGACUGUGGUGGGGCAGUGCCUUCACCUGUAGGGGAAAUGGGGCACCAGAGGAGAGGACUGGGUGAACUGGACAGUAUGUAGGGUAAGUGGGUGUUCCUGAAGAAGUUCAUGGUGCAGUGGCUCUCUGGGGCCAUACAUGGGCUCUAGUCCAGAAUGAGCAGGAUGAAAGUAACCAAGGCCACUGCAGGACGCUCGUGGGUUAGCUCAGAGCAGGGGAUCUGAAAAGGAGAUCUUGGGAGGAUGAGAAGGCUCUGGCAGAUGGACAGUGGAGAGUGUAGGACAGGCUUAGGGGCUUUGCAAGAGGCCAGUUGCCCCAGGGCUUGUAUUUAGGGUGCUAGGGGUCACCCAAGAGCUCACACAUCCUGAGUUAUAGACAGUCUCUUGGGAGUCAUUUAUGUUCAAGUGGAUGUGGAGUGGAGGAGACUAUGUGGAAAGUUGAAAAAAGGGGACUAAAACCCCAGGGAACACUGAAGGGCAGGGAUGGGAGCUUUGGAGAAGGCAGAAGGAGCGUGGUCAGCAGAUCAGAAGAGACCCUAGGAGCAUGGCCCAGAGGCAUGGAGUGGCCACUUUAGGAGGCUAGGGGUGGCCACCAGCCUGGAUUGAGGCCACCAGUGUGGACUGCAGCAGCGAUGCAGGGGAGGAGACCAGGGAAAUGGAUGGUCCUAGGUGACUUGUAAAAGUGGCCCUGGUCUGAGGAUGAGUGUGAGAAGCAAGGCAAGAUGGGUGGCAAGAGCCCAGCAGACUACCCCUGGGGUCCUGGGUGGGAGCAGGAAUGAGGCUAAGGAUAGCGGAAGGUGACUUGGGCAGAUGCCAGUGUCCUUGGAAGCUUGCUCCGGUCCCUGUCACAUCUCACAGGAACAUACUUAUCUACUCCCAGAUUCCUUCAGGCCCCCAUCCCUUGAAGAUUAUGUAAAGGAAUUCCCACUCCCUGAAGGCAAUGGCCUCAUCUUUUACGUGCACCUCAGGAACACCCUCUAAUCAGCUCUAAGAGAAGGGCCUGAGGCAGCUGGGACCCAGGAAAUGGUGCAGCGAAUUCACAUCUUCCAGUUCCUGAAAUCACUUGCCAACACUCCUUCUCCAGAAGGGCUGUUGCUAUUCCCUCCACUCCUCCUGGCCACUCUGUGAGCCUGUCAGUUCCCAACAGCAAGGUCAGCAGCAGUGUUUUAUUGGUUAUCAGAACAAGGUCCCAGAUGCUCCUGCCACCACGUGGCCUCUUUGGGGCUCCCUUCCUUCCCGCACUGCCUGCAGGCUCAGUGCCCAGUGUGGAGGGUGCAGGAGAAAGCAGCUGUGUGCAGAGUCUCUAUGUCUGGGGACAGGGCUGAGGCUUGAGCUUUAGGAAUGUUUUGCACAUGAUCAUGAUGCCUGCAGCAAGUGCUGAGCAAGCUGGCACCUCCUGCCUCCAGUUCUACUGGGUUAUCCUGGGCAGGAGUCCUCCCUGCAAACCUUCUGAAUGAAGCCACCACCUAUGGACUCAACUAUCGUGCAUGUGGAAGACAAUGUUCACCUUGCCCAAAGAGACUCAGGGACUCUUCUCAAACCCAAGACUGAUACUGAAACAAGUUGGGUUAUCCCUGCCUAGGAGGCCAAUGUCAAAUCACUUGCCAGUGGGGCCUGUCCUGUCACUAACCCCCGGCUUGACUGAUGGCCUCAACCUCUGUGAAAAGACAGCAAGAGCUGUCCCUUAGCUUUAGGGCAGCUAAUAUGCCCCAAUGUGGGGUCCUCUUUGGUGUGCUCAGCAGUGUCUCAGAACCUGCCACAAACUUCCUUUCCUGUGCCUGGGGGACUGGGGGAAGCCAGAUGGGCAAGCUCAGAUCCUGUUAUAGACCCACGUGUGAAAUGUCUGCUUCUAAGCCCUGCAUUGCCUGCCCUUUUAACGUUGUGAAACUGGCAUCAAAAGCUUGAAACUACUGUAACCUUUCACUUAGACUACCUCCUUGGUACAGGACCAGAAACCUGGCUUACAGUACUUGUCCAUGUUGGCCCCAGCAGCUGGCUCUUCCAGUUUCAGAACAACCCCAGGCACCCCUAGGUAUUGUUUAUCCAGCUCUCCUCCUCAGAGCUCACCGGACACAAUCGUCACUGGUUGGUGUCAUCUAGCUGAAGACUGACUUGCCCACAAUCCCUAGGAAUGAGAUUUUACUCAAAGCUAACAAACCUGGUUUCCAGGUAUGGGUUCUCACAAUAUCCAUGUAUACUUGUCUACUUGGGUUUGUAUAUUUUUUUCGUGUAAAAUAACAUUUACCAAUUUAACUGAUGGCCAUCUUCUUCAGAGGCCCUCAGAACAUCACAGAUGCAUGUGGGAAGACUGACAAGGAAAAUUUGUGCUUAUAAUUACUAUUUGGUUUCCAAGACUAAUCAUGCAAAUUUUAAAAGCCAACAAGACUUCCAGGUCCUUUGGUUAUGCAAAAAGUCCUGAAGGACAACAGCCAUCAGUUAAAGAAACAGGUUGAAACUAGAAAGGUCAAUGUAGACCCAGUCUAUCCUGUUGGCCUAGAGUUUUUAGAAAAAAAGUUUUUUAUGGAGUAUAAGCUAAAGAGGAACAGUUUGCACAGUUUGGACAAAAUAUAAGUACUCUUACCAAUAAAUAUGUUUCAAAAUGACAAAUAAAGCUCUCCCCAUUUGGCAGCUUGGAAUCCCAGCAAGAAGUGAUGGGCACAGGCACAAUGAGCUAUGUACAGAGUGUAAACAGUAAGCCCCUUAAGGGGAAGGAAAGGGGCAGGACCAGGUGACAGGUGUGCAGGGAGGAUCAUGGGAGUGUGGGUUAGGGCAGUGGGCCCAGGGUAAAUACAACAGGUUUGUACGACAGCCAUCUAAUAUGCCAUCAAAACUUGGUUGGUGACGGGUGCACUGGGUUCCUCCAGUCGGCAGUAAAGAGAAAUGUGACCACCGAGGCCGCCUGGCCCCACUGACCAUUUCCCAGGGGGCGGCGAGAAGGCUUCCGUGUUCUUCCUCCCGAGGGGCAGGGGCAGGGACAGGGGCAGGGGCAGGGGCAGGCUUCAAGGCCAGGCCGACCAGUUUCUCAAAUAGGGAACGGGCCGAAAGGCUUCACGGAUCCUGCAGCCCUUCCUUCCUAGCAAAAGAGUUCUGGGCACCUGUGUCCAGCAGGGGGCCCCAUGACUGCCCAGCCUUCAAGGGCUCCAACCCCAAAGUCCAGUCCCAGUAGUUUAGGGAAGCCACAGAGCCACCACAGGAUCGGUUUUCGAGUCCCUGAUCCACACAGGCCUCGUGAACAAAGCCAGCCCCCCCCCCCCCGCCCCGCCCCCAGCACACUCCCCAGCCUAGCUCCGGCGUUCUUAAAUAUCAGUCUCCCGGAGGUUAGUGUAGUCAGCUUCUUCAUAAGCCUGGCAGGUGGCGCCCUCUGCCAAAUCCUGGGGACUCCGAGAGACACGGCCUCCACUUCAGUGCGCAGGGCCUCUGGGCGCUGCGCGCCCCCGGAGCGGAUCUUGUGCGACAGGCUGGAGACCUUGGCACGCAGCUGGGUCGUGGGUCUCCGGAGGGGCCCAAGCAGCCGCCACUCGCGGAAAGUGCUGGGCGGCUUUCGAUGGCUGGAGACCGCAGCCUGGACCUCUGGCGUGCCGGGGGCAGAGGGCGCGAUGAGGGCCAGCGGGGCCCCUGGGGGCGCGGCGCCCGGGCUGGGGGCGCAGUCGGGAUGCGGGCCGCUGGUCGAGGCUCGCCAGUAGUGGCCGUAGACGCGCCAGAGAGGGCGGCGGCGGCGGCGGCGGCGACACUGGCAGCGCAGGAGGCGGAGGAAAGCGCGUUUGAACUCGCGGCUGGAGCAAGGGUAGAUGAGAGGGUUCACGCAGCUGUUGAAGUAGCCGAGCCAGAAGAUAACCUUGAACACACCUUCGGACGGCUUCAGCUGCGGGAACAGAGAGCCUGUUGAAAACAGAGACCCAGACGGUUAGCUGCUCCCUCGGGGAGCCCUGGGCACAAAGGGGUGAGCAUCUUACCCUCCCCCGAGCCAGGGCCAAAGCGUCCGCUAGGUGCUCUUAAGGGAUCCCUCCUUAAGGGCUCCCACAUAUUCUUCAGGAGCUCCGUGAACUUGGACGGGAAAAUAGGCAUUUUCACAUCUACUCCCUUCUCCCUGAAAUUGAACCAGGGUAGACAACAAACCAGAGAAGAGUUAGGCAAAAC
Heterocephalus glaber (naked mole-rat) is the source of this 4281-nucleotide long non-coding RNA. The record is from Ensembl. NCBI's taxonomy places the organism in Eukaryota, Metazoa, Chordata, Mammalia, Rodentia, Bathyergidae.